This 253-nucleotide ribosomal RNA is filed under the name uncultured bacterium. RNAcentral's name for it is "partial 16S ribosomal RNA". It matches the Rfam family "Bacterial small subunit ribosomal RNA", at positions 524 to 776 of the family's 1533-position model. The record is from RNAcentral.
UACAGAGGGUGCGAGCGUUAAUCGGAAUUACUGGGCGUAAAGCGUGCGUAGACGGUUAUUUAAGUCGGAUGUGAAAGCCCCGGGCUCAACCUGGGAAUUGCAUUCGAGACUGAAUAGCUAGGGUACGGUAGAGGGAAGUGGAAUUUCCGGUGUAGCGGUGAAAUGCGUAGAUAUCGGAAGGAACACCAGUGGCGAAGGCGGCACUCUGGGCCAGUACUGACACUGAGGAGCGAAAGCGUGGGGAGCGAACAGG